GCCAAGGAAGGGUUAACCAGCCAAGUUCCAGGCUAACACAGGAGAUUAUAGAAUGUUUAUCUAGUAUUCAGAUUUCCUGUUUAAAUGUUUGGAUUUCCUGAAAUCUAUCAGUCUGAAGGGUGUCCAGUACGUGGCCUUUUCCGCCCCUUCUUUUCAGCUCACAUGGGUGGACUUCCCUUCCCAACUGUAUUUCUGUCUCCUCACCAGCCAAGAUUUUCAUGGAUGAAAAUCAAAACGUUUUAGGCACCCCCAGAAAAUAUUUCUGGAUCCCUGGCCUUUGGGAUGUGCUUUGUUUUAAUCUAGCGAGCAAAUAAUCACAACAAAAAUUCCUGGGAAUUUCCUAUUGGUGCAACGUGCCUUUUUUUUUUCCCCUUUUCUCUCUUUUUUUUCCCAGCUCCGUGUUGGAAAAUAAUUUUAGCCCUUUCAAGACAAUGGAAUGAUGGCCUUCCUUUUGGCAUGCUCUUCUGGAAUGGGACUUCAAACAGGACGAGUCUUGGUAAUUUUCUUCUGUUGAGACAUGAGAUCUUCAGCUUCCAGAUUGUCCAGCUUCUCUUCAAGGGAUUCAUUAUGGAAUCGGAUCAUGCCGGACCAGAUCACUGUGUCGGAGUUUAUUGUUGAGACCACGGAAGAUUACAAUUCCCCAACGACCUCCAGUUUUACCACCCGGCUACAGAACUGCAGGAACACCGUCACGCUGCUAGAAGAGGCUUUAGAUCAGGACAGAACUGCACUACAAAAAGUGAAAAAAUCUGUAAAAGCAAUAUAUAACUCUGGGCAAGAACAUAUCCAAAAUGAAGAAAGCUAUGCACAAGUACUAGAUAAAUUUGGAAGUAAUUUCUUAAGUAGAGAUAAUCCAGACCUGGGAACUGCUUUUGUAAAGUUUUCCACGCUAACUAAGGAAUUGUCAACACUGCUUAAAAAUCUGCUACAAGGGUUGAGCCAUAAUGUUAUCUUCACCUUGGAUUCCCUGUUGAAAGGAGAUCUGAAAGGAAUUAAAGGGGAUCUGAAAAAGCCUUUCGAUAAAGCCUGGAAGGAUUAUGAGACCAAAUUCACGAAGAUUGAAAAGGAAAAAAGGGAACACGCCAAACAACAUGGGAUGAUACGAACAGAGAUCACUGGAGCUGAGAUAGCAGAAGAAAUGGAGAAAGAGAGAAGGUUGUUUCAGCUCCAGAUGUGUGAAUAUCUCAUUAAGGUUAAUGAAAUCAAGACGAAAAAGGGUGUGGACCUUUUACAGAAUCUUAUUAAGUAUUAUCAUGCACAAUGCAAUUUCUUUCAAGAUGGCUUGAAGACAGCUGAUAAACUCAAACAGUACAUUGAAAAGCUAGCUGCUGAUUUAUAUAACAUAAAACAGACACAAGAUGAAGAAAAGAAGCAACUUACUGCAUUGAGGGACUUGAUAAAAUCCUCUUUGCAACUUGACCAAAAAGAGGUAAGAAUCACAAGCAAAACUAGUGAUUCACAGAGCCGGCAAGGAGGUUACAGCAUGCAUCAACUUCAGGGAAAUAAAGAGUUUGGCAGUGAGAAGAAAGGAUACCUUUUAAAGAAAAGCGAUGGCAUACGGAAAGUUUGGCAGAGAAGAAAAUGCACAGUUAAAAAUGGCAUCCUGACCAUUUCACAUGCAACUUCAAACAGGCAACCUGCUAAAUUAAAUCUGCUUACAUGCCAAGUGAAACCAAACGCUGAAGACAAGAAAUCAUUUGACCUGAUAUCACAUAACAGAACAUAUCACUUUCAGGCAGAGGAUGAGCAAGAUUAUGUCGCGUGGAUAUCAGUACUGACCAACAGCAAAGAAGAAGCUUUAAAUAUGAGAUUGGCUGGAAAUGAUGUCUGUUGUGACUGCGGAUCACCAGAUCCAACUUGGCUUUCUACUAACCUGGGCAUUUUAACCUGUAUAGAGUGUUCCGGAAUACACAGAGAAAUGGGUGUUCAUAUUUCUCGAAUCCAAUCUCUAGAACUGGACAAGUUAGGAACAUCUGAACUCUUGCUGGCCAAGAAUAUAGGAAAUAAUAGUUUUAAUGACAUUAUGGAGGGAAACUUACCGACUCCGUCUCCAAAACCCACUCCAUCGAGUGAUAUGACUGCCCGCAAAGAAUUUAUUACUGCUAAAUAUGUAGAUCAUAAGUACUCCAGAAAGACCUGUGCAUCAUCAGCGGCUAAACUGAAUGAACUACUAGAGGCUGUUCGAUCCAGGGAUUUACUUGCACUACUUCAAGUCUAUGCAGAAGGAGUUGAACUGAUGGAGCCACUCUUAGAACCUGGACAGGAGCCAGGCGAAACUGCUCUUCAUUUAGCAGUCCGAACUGCUGAUCACACAUCACUCCAUCUGAUCGACUUCCUUGUACAAAACUGUGGAAACCUGGAUAAGCAAACCGUGUUGGGGAAUACAGUUCUACAUUAUUGCAGUAUAUAUAACAAACCAGAGUGUUUGAAGUUGGUUUUGAAGGGGAAGCCAACUUUGCAUAUAGUAAAUCAAGCUGGAGAAACUGCCCUGGACACGGCAAAGAGACUGAAAGCUCUUCCGUGUGAAGAUUUGCUUUCCCAGGCCAAAGUGGGGAAACUAAAUCCACACGUUCACGUCGAAUACGAGUGGAACCUUCGGCAGGAAGAAAUGGAUGAAAGUGACGAUGACUUAGAUGACAAGCCUAGUCCGAUUAAGAAAGAACGUUCCCCAAGACCGCAGAGUUUUUGUCAUUCUUCCAGUAUUUCUCCUCAAGACAAAAUGGCUGUUCCCGGCCUUGGCACUCCACGAGACAAGCAGAGACUCUCCUAUGGCGCCUUCCCACAUCAGAUUUUUGUCUCUGCCAGCAUCGACUCUGCCACUUCACCAACAACUGUAGAUGGGCCCCCACUUCCUCCAAGAAAUGCUGGAAAAGGUCCAACGUGCCCUCCUUCAACUCUCCCAUUAAGCACUCCAGCCUCUAGUGGCAGCUCCACCCUGUCUAAGAAGAAGCCCCCACCCCCACCCCCUGGACACAAAAGAACCCUAUCAGACCCACCCAGCCCACAACCUCAUGGGCCCCAGAAUAAGGGCCAAAUGUCUUGGGGUGACACCGGGACUGCUAAGACUGCUCUGGGCCCAAGAGUGCUUCCCAAACUACCUCAAAAAGUGGCGUUACGAAAAAUAGAAACAAUUCAUCUUCCUUCGGUAGACAAAUCCAGCCACCACUCUGAGAUCUUUCAAAAGUCGGCUUCUCUUUGUAUCGAUCUGCCCCUGAAGCCCCAGCCUGCAGAUUUAGCCCCCAAACCAGGAGAAUUACCCCCCAAACCCCAACUGGGGGACCUGCCCCCAAAGCCCCAAUUAGCCGACUUGCCUCCAAAACCCCAAAUGAAGGAUCUCCCUCCAAAGCCACAACUGGGAGAAACUUUGCCUUCCGAGGCCAGUCAGAAAUCACCCGGUAUGGAUCUUUCCCCAAAGAUACAAUCGAAAGAGAUUAUCCAGAAACAAGCAUCUGAAGACUCUGGAGAUACGACCCCUGGAUCAGCAGAAACCCCUGUGCCGCUUCCUAGAAAAAUAAACAUGGGGAAGAAUAAAGUCAAGAGGGUGAAGACAAUCUACGAUUGCCAAGCAGAUAACGAUGAUGAGCUUACGUUUGUGGAAGGCGAAAUUAUUAUUGUAACCGGAGAGGAGGAUCAGGAGUGGUGGAUCGGCCACAUUGAAGGAAAGCCGGAACGGAAAGGAGUCUUCCCUGUCUCCUUCGUCCACAUUUUAUCAGACUAACUCCAGCCAGAAACUUGAGUAUUGCACAUUGUUCCUGCAAGUCAGGCUUUAAGCACGAAGCAAGACAGCUGCUGCAUCCCUGUAAUUCUGUGCAUAAUUGUGGAUAUUGAUGUAUAUAUAUAUAACUGCUGUUAACAAGGCGAGAACUCGGUCCUGCCCGUACGAAGGGCUCGUCAUACCUGUAAUUGUAUAUAGAAGGUGUUCCUUUGCCAUUGCCAGUAUUAUGGUCAUUGUCGGAGCUGGCAUGCCUUAUUGGGUUGCUCAAGCCAUUCUUGGCAUCAAGCACUUACAAAAAACUGUCCGUGUGUAUGAACUGCCAGCUUUCUAACUAAACUGUUAGUCCCAUUCACUCCCAUUCAGCUGAACAGAAUUUACCGUCCCUAAUAAUACAUCAGUAUUCUCGGAAGCAGAUAGCUAGCAGCAGUUUCUCUUUCCCCCAAAGGAACGGCUGAUGUCCGUCAAUGGCUACCCAACUUGCACCAUUGACAGCUUGUGAAAUCCUCUUCCUUGGUAUUCAUUUAGAAAAUAUAUAUAUAUAUACAUAUAUCUAUGUGUCCGAUGUAUCCAUCCAACAAACAGAAAUAUGCACUAAUGCUACAGGUAAAAAAAAAAACAGUAGAAUUUUUUUAUGGUGGUAGGCCACAUGUUCAUGUUUGUACUCUGUAACUUUGGUCUUUGACCUCACUGGGCUGCCAUCUCAAUGUCUUCAAUAAAAAUGAAUUCAAUCUCA
Molecule: long non-coding RNA, 4448 nt
Organism: Naja naja (Indian cobra)
Lineage: Eukaryota; Metazoa; Chordata; Lepidosauria; Squamata; Elapidae
Source: Ensembl